CCUACGGGGGGCUGCAGUGAGGGAUAUUGGUCAAUGGGGGAAACCCUGAACCAGCAACGCCGCGUGAGGGAAGACGGCCCUCGGAUUGUAAACCUCCGUUUUCUGUGAAGAUAAUGACGGUAGCAGAGGAGGAAGCUCCGGCUAACUACGUGCCAGCAGCCGCGGUAAUACGUAGGGAGCAAGCGUUGUCCGGAUUUACUGGGUGUAAAGGGUGCGUAGGCGGCCCUGCAAGUCAGAAGUGAAAUCCAUGGGCUUAACCCGUGAACUGCUUUUGAAACUGUAGGGCUUGAGUGAAGUAGAGGCAGGCGGAAUGCGUGGUGUAGCGGUGAAAUGCGUAGAGAUCGGGAAGAACACCAGUGGCGAAGGCGGCCUGCUGGGCUUUAACUGACGCUGAAGCACGAAAGCGUGGGUAGCAAACAGGAUUAGAUACCCGUGUAGUC
RNAcentral lists this ribosomal RNA (440 nucleotides) under uncultured bacterium. RNAcentral describes it as "partial 16S ribosomal RNA". It matches the Rfam family "Bacterial small subunit ribosomal RNA", at positions 338 to 795 of the family's 1533-position model. The record is from RNAcentral.